Molecule: non-coding RNA, 428 nt
Organism: Camelina sativa (false flax)
Lineage: Eukaryota; Viridiplantae; Streptophyta; Magnoliopsida; Brassicales; Brassicaceae
Source: RefSeq, a predicted model, not a curated record
CAGGUGGAACCAAGUUUCGUUGUUUGUGUUUUCGAUUGAACAACACUUGUUAUAUCUUUGGCCCUCGUCUCUGCCUUUUCUUCUAUCGAUUUAACAAAUUAGGGUUCUUUGUUUUUGGUUAACGUAAAAAUUAGGGUUCUCUCGUUGUUUCUUCUUCUCGUCUGAAGUUGGCUUAUAAACUUAGAAAACAGAACCAACCUUCCAUUUUCCAGCUAGAAGAACUUUGGUUUUGAAGAAAGCUAAUAAUAAAGAAGAUUAAUAAGAUAUGGAAGGUUCAGAAGAUGCUUCUGCAAUUGUAGAACCUCCUGACCCUGAAGUUCUUGAAAUCGACCCAACUUGUCGAUAUAUUCGGUACAAAGAAGUAAUAGGCAAAGGCGCCUCCAAGACAGUUUUCAAGGGAUUCGAUGAAGUAGAUGGGAUUGAAGUUG